ACGCUCGACACCUACGGGGGCAGCAGUGGGGGAUAUUGCACAAUGGGGGAAACCCUGAUGCAGCAACGCCGCGUGAAGGAAGAAGGUCUUCGGAUUGUAAACUUCUGUCCUCAGGGAAGAUAAUGACGGUACCUGAGGAGGAAGCUCCGGCUAACUACGUGCCUGCAGCCGCGGUAAUCUGAGCGGGCUGGCAAGGC
Molecule: ribosomal RNA, 197 nt
Filed under: uncultured bacterium
Lineage: Bacteria
Description: partial 16S ribosomal RNA
Rfam family: Bacterial small subunit ribosomal RNA
Source: RNAcentral